AAGAUUUUAAGUUAAAUAAACUAAUAGCCUUCAAAUCUAUAAAUACAAGUAUAAUUCUUUUAAAUCUUA
RNAcentral lists this transfer RNA (69 nucleotides) under Suragina sp. KW-2016. RNAcentral describes it as "tRNA-Trp". It matches the Rfam family "tRNA". From Rfam's summary of the family: Transfer RNA (tRNA) molecules are approximately 80 nucleotides in length. The record is from RNAcentral. Lineage: Eukaryota; Metazoa; Arthropoda; Insecta; Diptera; Athericidae.